This 227-nucleotide ribosomal RNA is filed under the name uncultured bacterium. RNAcentral's name for it is "partial 16S ribosomal RNA". It matches the Rfam family "Bacterial small subunit ribosomal RNA", at positions 103 to 334 of the family's 1533-position model. The record is from RNAcentral.
CGGGUGAGUAAUACAUCGGAACGUGUCUUCUAGUGGGGGAUAACUGCCCGAAAGGGCAGCUAAUACCGCAUGAGACCUGAGGGUGAAAGCGGGGGAUCGCAAGACCUCGCGCUGGAAGAGCGGCCGAUGUCCGAUUAGCUAGUUGGUGAGGUAAAGGCUCACCAAGGCGACGAUCGGUAGCUGGUCUGAGAGGACGACCAGCCACACUGGGACUGAGCACGGCCCAG